GGAGUGGAGGGUUCUCUUCCUCCUCUACACAUACCCAAAACAUGAGAGCUCUUUCUCUUAAACCCUCACCUCUAGCUCUCUCUCUCUCUCUAGCAAUUUCUCCAUUAAAGAGAAGAAGUUGGAGGAGAUUAAGUUGGAGAAGAAGCUUGGUGGUGAAGCAAGCUCUCCAAUGGUGGACAAGCUUCUUUCCCGAUGUGGCCAUUGAUAAUUCGACGCGGAGGACAACUUCGUUUUGGAUUACGACGAGGUUACGGCGUCCGAUUGAGAGAUUUGCGGAAUUUGGUUCGUUAGGCUUGGGUCGAGCUAAAACAGCAACGGUAAAUUGCGGGACUUGAUUUCUCGCUUAUUGACGUCGAUAUGAGUACUAUGUCUUAUUGGAUCUAGUGGGAAAGUCGGCGAGGUCGGCGGCCGAACCCACUGGGAACUUCUUUUAGUUCUCACCCCCUAUUGUUGCAGAGCCACCAUUCGUAGAGCGGCACCGGAUCGAGGCGUGGGCGUUGUGCCCUAGAUAGCAGGGUUACCCCAUUUAGGUCGCCCUAUGUACAAGCAAAAGAAUGUAAAAGUUUAUUAGAAAUGUAAUUUGGAAUGUAAUUGUAUUUUGGAGGAAUCAUUCUUGUAUCAAUGUAAAAUGAGAAA
Long non-coding RNA from Ananas comosus (pineapple), 636 nucleotides. RefSeq lists it as uncharacterized. The record is from RefSeq and is a predicted model, not a curated record. NCBI's taxonomy places the organism in Eukaryota, Viridiplantae, Streptophyta, Magnoliopsida, Poales, Bromeliaceae. The transcript has 3 exons.